AGAGUUUGAUCAUGGCUCAGGACGAACGCUGGCGGCGUGCCUAAUACAUGCAAGCCGAGCGGAGUCAUGAGAGAGCUUGCUCUCGAUUGGCUUAGCGGCGGACGGGUGAGUAACACGUAGCAACCUGCCUGCAAGCCCGGGAUAACAUUCGGAAACGGAUGCUAAUACCGGAUACGCGGUUUUGUCGCAUGACGGAAUCGGGAAAGACGGAGCAAUCUGUCGCUUGCGGAUGGGCCUGCGGCGCAUUAGCUGGUUGGCGGGGUAACGGCCCACCAAGGCGACGAUGCGUAGCCGACCUGAGAGGGUGAUCGGCCACACUGGGACUGAGACACGGCCCAGACUCCUACGGGAGGCAGCAGUAGGGAAUCUUCCGCAAUGGACGAAAGUCUGACGGAGCAACGCCGCGUGAGUGAGGAAGGCCUUCGGGUCGUAAAGCUCUGUUGCCAGGGAAGAAUGUUUGGGGGAGUAACUGCCCCUGAAAUGACGGUACCUGAGAAGAAAGCCCCGGCUAACUACGUGCCAGCAGCCGCGGUAAUACGUAGGGGGCAAGCGUUGUCCGGAAUUAUUGGGCGUAAAGCGCGCGCAGGCGGCCUUGUAAGUCUGGUGUUUAACCCACGGGCUCAACCCGUGGUCGCACCGGAAACUGCAAAGCUUGAGUGCAGAAGAGGAAAGUGGAAUUCCACGUGUAGCGGUGAAAUGCGUAGAGAUGUGGAGGAACACCAGUGGCGAAGGCGACUUUCUGGGCUGUAACUGACGCUGAGGCGCGAAAGCGUGGGGAGCAAACAGGAUUAGAUACCCCCGUAGUCC
This 807-nucleotide ribosomal RNA is filed under the name uncultured bacterium. RNAcentral's name for it is "bacterial SSU rRNA". It matches the Rfam family "Bacterial small subunit ribosomal RNA", at positions 8 to 796 of the family's 1533-position model. The record is from RNAcentral.